RNAcentral lists this long non-coding RNA (4491 nucleotides) under Zea mays. Its description in RNAcentral is "long non-coding RNA (ZMAY_LNC004870)". The record is from RNAcentral. Lineage: Eukaryota; Viridiplantae; Streptophyta; Magnoliopsida; Poales; Poaceae.
AAACAGAUGCUCAGGAUCUUCAACUUUGUAGAACUCGAAGAACCUGACCAUUUGGUCGCCGAAGCUUGACCGUCGAUUCCUCGAAGCUCGAAAACAAAUCACGAUCUAAUUGCAAUGUGAAGCGAAGACGAACAGACACAAGCAAACAAACAUAUAUUUAUGCAUGAGAACAUUACACCAUUCAAAAAAAAAACAUAAUAAAACAUGCAAAAAUAGAGCUCGCUACUAUGGUCACUCGACGAAAGGAAACACGACAGUCGGAGCUAUGAUCGAGAAGUUAACGGGUUUACGCUAAACAAAUAUUAACUAUAGCAUUUAAUUCGACAUUAUCAACUAUAAAUAAUAUCUGCCAUUUAGUUUCGAUUAAUCUGCUAUACUAACAAUUGUCAGUUAAAUAAGUAAUUAAUUAUCACGAGAGAUUUUAAGCGAGGCGAAUUUACGACACACAAAACAACACGACAACGUGCAGAACGACGCGUGGACACGCACGACAUGCACAAACAACGUGCAACAAUGCGCAUUACACGCAAAAACGACGCGUUCGUCACGCGCGAAUGACGCGUGGCGACACGCGACAAGGUGUGCGACGUGCAAAACAAUGCACGGCCACACACGACACACGCAAACGAUGUGUGACAACGUGUGCGAACAGCAUACGCGACAACACACGAAAUAACGUAAGAACCAGACGCACAAACAACUUGACGACGACGAGCGCCACAAGUGCGAACAGCACGCGCGACACUCGUGAACGACACGCGACGACAGCGCGAAACAACACGUGUGACACGCAAGAAAUAUUAAAUAGAUGUUGUGUUUAUACUGAAUAAGUAUUAAUUCAAAAACAUUCGAGUAUGCACAAUUAUAUAACAAGUAUUUAUAAAAUGCAACUAAAACUAUAAAUUAGUUUAAUUAGAUUGCUACUUUAAUAAUUGUUGGAUAUAUAGAUAAAUAAUUAAGUAAAACAUGCAUCGCGACAAAAUAAUUGCACUAAUACGAAAUCGUUGAUGUUACGAAGUUGACGCGACAAACGAGUCGAAACGGGUUUACGACGGACAGGGGUGGAUCCAGGAUUACGAUAUAAGGGGGCCAAUGAAUUCAUCAAUACUAUAUGAUAAAAAAUAUUGUAUAAUGUCAUCAAGGUUGAGCACUCGACAUGGAAUAAGAAUUCUAAGUCUUUAUAAAUUAUCUUAGUUCAUGAGUCCAUUUUCUAACUAAUUGAUAUAUUGAACUAAAGUUGUGACGCAAGAAUAAUACCAAAAUAAUAAAGGCGACAUAACGAUGAAUAUCCGACUGAUGAGAUUCAACUUUUAUAUAAUGACUCUAGUAUUCAUGAGGCAUCUAACAAAUUUGUGAGAGAAUUCAAAAAUCAAACUAGCCUCGAGGAUCCAUGAAAAUAUGUCAACCUACGCAGGUACAUAUCAAAUUUGUCGUGUACACACCAACUAUCAAGUGACAACUUUAGUUGAAAUUUGUUGAUUUUAUUAUCCACAAGAUCUAGUGUAGUAUGUAUAUAAGUUGUUGGCGCUCAUUAUGCUACUUCGUGUGAUCACCUUUGUUGGACUUUAGUUGUGGGGAUAUGUCAGAGGCAAGUCAAGUGGUCAGCAACAAUCGGCAGCUGCCUAGACAGAUGAUAGGAUGAAUCAUAAAGGGGUGAGGUUCAGAUAUCAUCGUCUACAAGUGAAUUAGUUUUGGCGUUUCAUGCAUGAUUGGUCAUUCAACGAAUAUUUUAUCUUAUAUUCUUUGUCUCUUUUAGACGUUGGUUGGCAUAUACUACAACAGAGUUAUGGAUCAUAUAUUCCCGGCCACUAUAUUAAACAUUUCAUUAAUUAUGUUGCACAAAAUUUGGAAUAUUUAUAUUUAGAUACAUAUAAUUUAGACUAUAUAUAUAAUUCUCUUGUUUGUGUCUCAGCCUUCGGAGGGGCCAUGGCCCCUGCUGGCCCCCCUUGGCUCGACCCAUGACGACGGAUAAUAUAUCGAAUAAAUAACAAUCUGCGGAUUAUAAACGACGCCACAUAUAAGAACUGCUAAACACACGUCGCAAUCACACUAAGUAAUAUUGAAUCAAAACAUUUGAUUAUUAUUAAUCAUAUUAACAUAUAUUUAUAAAUGCAUAAAUUAAAACUAUAAAUUAGUUUACACGACUAAACAAUGUUACUAAUAUAUACUCUACUUAUUAUAAAGUUAACACUACUCAAACGGGUCGAAGCAGAUUUAUAACGCAAAAAGAUAUGAAUAGUUACCGAAUUGAGCUAUGUGGCGCAAUAUGAUUGGUUGAGGGAUUAACCACAUAGUGGGCCAUAAGAACCUAUCCAAAGAAGACCCUGCACGGUAGAAGUGGCCAAAGAAAAGGCUUAAACGUUGCCACGUUCUAUGGAGGGUUGUUUUCAUGCAUGCGGCCAGGAGGUUUCUCACGGCAUGCAUGUGUACAUGGGUGGGCCCACCAGCCGUUUCUCCACACGGUUUCUUCGUUUCCAGGCUCUGCACGGACGAACGAAUCGCACCAGCGGUUCCUCUUCUUCCUUCGACCUUCCUUGGGCCAACCAACACAGCCACAACAAGGGGAGAGAAAGGAGGAAGUUCUCUGCCGUCCCGAUAGGCUUGGCCAUUGGGCUGCUCGGCCACUCGCCGGCGGCUCGCUGGCCGGAGUGACGGCAGCGCACGACCGGGCGCGCAACAAGACCGGGAACGAGGCGUGUAGCGGCACAUGGCUGGGAGCUGGCGUUUGGCGACAUGCGAAGGGGAGGUGGGUAGGGAUGGGCACUUUUUUACCAUAAACCGAAAACCGAAUCGAACCGAACCGAACCGAAAUUUCGGUUUUUUCGGUAGUUCGAUUCGGUUUCGGUUUUUGUAUCUAAGAAGUUCGGUUUUCGGUAUCGUAAUCGGUUUUCACCGUAUACCGAAUCGAAAUACCAAAAAAACCGAAUACCAAACUUUAUCAAUUAUCAAAUUUGACUAUUUGAUUAUGUGAACUAAAUAUGUGAUACAAUUAAAUUGUUAUUCACUUAUUUGUAUGUGAUGUAUGAUGUAUCUCUAAAUAUUUGUACCUAUAAAAUUUUUAGUUUUUAAAAUUAUGUGUAAUCUAUCAUGUACACUUGUUGUAUGUAUUGUCUUGAGUAUAAGUUUGGUAUUCGGUUUUUACCGAAAAACCGAAGUAAAAAACCGAAACCGAACUUCUCGGUUUUUAUUUUCUAGAAAACCGAUCGGUUUCUAAUGUCUGUAAAACCGAAAAACCGAACCGAAGUUUAGAAAAAACCGAAUGCCCAGCCUUAGAGGUGGGACACGGAGCUCGUGGGCCAGAUGCGGCCAGCUAGCGGCUACGGAGGCUAGGGCGGUGCUACAAUGCGUGGCUGGGGCAGGAUGCCCGCGAGUAGCGGCUGCACGACUAGUCCUCCUGUAAGUUGGGUCGGGCCGUGCUGACCCGGCACGGUCCGUUGUGCUUCGGGCUUAAAUAAUUUGGGCCAGGCUAGCACGCAUUGCAUUCGGGUCGGACUAAAUCGUGCUCAUGUUCUAAAAUAUAGGCCCAGCAUGGCCCUAAAACACGGCGGGCUUGUAUCGGGCCGGGCUGGCCCAGACCCGGCCCGUAACUCUGUCCCUGUUCGCGGCCGGCGAGGGCGAGCUCGUGGCCGUCAAGUCGGUCGCGUCGUCACUGUCGCUGUUCGCGGCGGGCGAGGGCGAGAUCAUGGAGGAGCCGUCGCUGCGCUGUUCGUGGCCGUCAAGUCGGUCCGCAUGGAGGAGCCGCGCCAUGCUCGAGGUCCUGACUGCAUUUCUAGAUAUCAUGGAGGAGCCGCGUCAGUGAGAGGAACUAGCCGUGCGUGUCUGCUUUGGCCUCCUGCGAUUCCUCCUCAGUUCGGUUGCUUGCUAGUCGAGGAGGAGCAGGGCCCCGCCGCUGACGUCUGGGAGGAGGACCGUCGCCACCACAGGAACCGAGGAGGAGGAGGGAAGAAGCGACGGCGGGCUGGGCGGCUUGCGCAUGCGGACUGGCAGAGAAGCCAAGGAGCCGCCGCCAGAGAACAGAACGGCUGGGGCUGGAAAUAAAUAUCGCGCGACACAAGACCGCGGCUUCCUAACCCUAAAUCGUGCCGGGCUGGCCCGAGCACGACCCAUGAUGGCGUGCCGGGCUAUUUGGGCCGUCGGGCCACCAGCCGAAGCACGGCCCAGCCCGUCUAACGUGCCGUGCUGGCCCGGUUUUUUCUAUUUCAUGCUGGGCCGGGCUACGUGCCAUCUAUUUCGUGCCGGGCUCGUGCUGGCCCAGCAAGCACGGCCCAAACUUACAGGACUAUGCACGACGACUCAAACGAUGGAAACUAACACAGCACCGGAGAAGAAAGUGUGCUCACCAGAGAUGAAGGGCUCGCCAGCGUUGACGUCGGUGUGGCGACGUGCUGCACAGCAGUAGGGGCGCGACGGGGCAUCGACCAGAUGCGUGUAACAGUGAAGGAGAGGGAGACGUGGAUGUGGGGAGGAGUUGUGCGUGGGCGGUGUGUCAGG